Molecule: ribosomal RNA, 435 nt
Filed under: Triticum aestivum (bread wheat)
Lineage: Eukaryota; Viridiplantae; Streptophyta; Magnoliopsida; Poales; Poaceae
Description: partial small subunit ribosomal RNA
Source: RNAcentral
AUGUUCAAGACUGUUCCUGGAGCUACGGCCAAACCUAGCAAGAAGCUGAAGGUUAAUAAACUGACCGAAGAUCCCAAGGUUGCUGACCCGGAGAAGCAGACGAUGUUUGAGUCUUUGCAUCAAACUUCUGAAGCAGCCAUGGAUGAUCCACCACCAGAAGAGCACCAUGUCACCAUGGACCCCAUGAAUGUUGACCCGGAGAAUGCUAAGCUGCCCAGCCCCGCCCAGCUAGCUCAAGAAACCGAAGAUGUAAUCGUUACUGGGAUGGCUUACACAUCACCAGGUAACCCCACCGUCUUGUCCAAGCACAAUGCCAAAGAGGAAUUAUCAGCUGCUGACAAAGGCAAGUGGAAACUGGAUCUGGAGAGCUAUGCUCAAUUAAAAGCCCAUGAGCUUCACGCGGGUUACUUUGAACCGCUUUCAUACCAGCCAUGA